CAGCAGCCGCGGGAAUACGAAGGGGGCUAGCGCUGUUCGGAUUUACUGGGCGUAAAGGGCGCGUAGGCGGACUGAUAAGUCAGGGGUGAAAUCCCAAGGCUCAACCUUGGAACUGCCUUUGAUACUGUUUGUCUUGAGUUCGAGAGAGGUAAGUGGAACUGCGAGUGUAGAGGUGAAAUUCGUAGAUAUUCGCAAGAACACCAGUGGCGAAGGCGGCUUACUGGCUCGAAACUGACGCUGAGGCGCGAAAGCGUGGGGAGCAAACAGGAUUAGAGACCCGGGUAGUCCCUGUCUCUUAUAC
Molecule: ribosomal RNA, 301 nt
Filed under: uncultured bacterium
Lineage: Bacteria
Description: partial 16S ribosomal RNA
Rfam family: Bacterial small subunit ribosomal RNA
Source: RNAcentral